Molecule: ribosomal RNA, 449 nt
Filed under: uncultured bacterium
Lineage: Bacteria
Description: partial 16S ribosomal RNA
Rfam family: Bacterial small subunit ribosomal RNA
Source: RNAcentral
AACGAACGCUGGCGGCAUGCCUAACACAUGCAAGUCGAACGAGAUCUUCGGGUCUAGUGGCGCACGGGUGCGUAACGCGUGGGAAUCUGCCCUUGGGUUCGGAAUAACAGUUAGAAAUGACUGCUAAUACCGGAUGAUGACUUCGGUCCAAAGAUUUAUCGCCCAGGGAUGAGCCCGCGUAGGAUUAGCUUGUUGGUGAGGUAAAGGCUCACCAAGGCGACGAUCCUUAGCUGGUCUGAGAGGAUGAUCAGCCACACUGGGACUGAGACACGGCCCAGACUCCUACGGGAGGCAGCAGUGGGGAAUAUUGGACAAUGGGCGAAAGCCUGAUCCAGCAAUGCCGCGUGAGUGAUGAAGGCCUUAGGGCUGUAAAGCUCUUUUACCCGGGAUGAUAAUGACAGUACCGGGAGAAUAAGCCCCGGCUAACUCCGUGCCAGCCGCCGCAGUAA